Molecule: ribosomal RNA, 433 nt
Filed under: uncultured bacterium
Lineage: Bacteria
Description: bacterial SSU rRNA
Rfam family: Bacterial small subunit ribosomal RNA
Source: RNAcentral
GAACGACGCUGGCGGCAGGCCUAACACAUGCAAGUCGAGCGAGGACUUCGGUCCUAGCGGCGGACGGGUGAGUAACGCGUGGGAACGUGCCCUUUGGUACGGAAUAGCCCCGGGAAACUGGGAGUAAUACCGUAUGGUGUCUUCGGACUAAAGAUUUAUCGCCAAAGGAUCGGCCCGCGUUGGAUUAGGUAGUUGGUGGGGUAAUGGCCUACCAAGCCGACGAUCCAUAGCUGGUUUGAGAGGAUGAUCAGCCACACUGGGACUGAGACACGGCCCAGACUCCUACGGGAGGCAGCAGUGGGGAAUCUUAGACAAUGGGGGCAACCCUGAUUUAGCCAUGCCGCGUGAGUGAUGAAGGCCCUAGGGUUGUAAAGCUCUUUCAGCUGGGAAGAUAAUGACGGUACCAGCAGAAGAAGCCCCGGCUAACUCCGUG